CCCUUAGAUGUUCUGGGCCGCACGCGUGCUACACUGAGUGGAUCAGCGGGUCAGGUUGCGCGAAAGCGUUUCCUAAUCUUUAAAUCCGCUCGUGAUGGGGAUUGACGGCUGCAAUUUUCUGUCAUGAACGAGGAAUACCUUGUAAGCGCGGGUCAUCAUCCCGCGCUGAAUACGUCCCUGCCCUUUGUACACACCGCCCGUCGCACCUACCGAUUGAAUGAUCCGGUGAAGCCUCGGGAUUGUGCCCAGAGGACUUUAUUGUGAUUUGGGUGUGAGAACUUGUCUAAACCUUAUCAUUUAGAGGAAGGUGAAGUCGUAACA
This 321-nucleotide ribosomal RNA is filed under the name uncultured eukaryote. RNAcentral describes it as "partial 18S ribosomal RNA". It matches the Rfam family "Eukaryotic small subunit ribosomal RNA", at positions 1470 to 1796 of the family's 1831-position model. The record is from RNAcentral.